GGAUGCGAUCAUACUAGCACUAGUGCAUCGGAUCCCAUCAAAACUACGCAGCUAAGCGUGCUUGGACGAGAGUAAUACUAGGAUGGGAAAUCCUCGUGUUACAUCAC
Molecule: non-coding RNA, 107 nt
Organism: Arabidopsis suecica
Lineage: Eukaryota; Viridiplantae; Streptophyta; Magnoliopsida; Brassicales; Brassicaceae
Source: the annotation of a GenBank genome assembly